This 903-nucleotide long non-coding RNA is filed under the name Vigna radiata. Its description in RNAcentral is "long non-coding RNA (VRAD_LNC004953)". The record is from RNAcentral. Lineage: Eukaryota; Viridiplantae; Streptophyta; Magnoliopsida; Fabales; Fabaceae.
GAACAUUUCGCACAGAUCAAUCACGCUAGGCAAAUAGUUUUGUAUCUUGAAUCCUAUCAUAGCCCAAUCGAAGACAGCCAAUAAUAUCAUUCAUCCAAAGGAAAUAAUAUCAGAAAUCUUCAAUUCUAUCAAAGUCUAACAGAAAAAAAUAAACGACGGAUGAAAAACUUACAGCUGUUGCAGACGGGAAUCAAAGCUCGAAGCUACUCGUCUGGCUGACUUUGCAGAGAUAUUUUGUUGUCGUUCCGAACCGAAACCCUAUGAAUUAGGGUUUAAGAGAAAUUGGAAAGACUCAGCAACAUAACUGGGAAAACCACAGUAAGAGUAAACAAUUUUCAGGAAGGGGAAUGUAAUAAAAAUAAAGACUACGACGGCUGACUCUGUUGGCGGUGGAGGACGUCGGACCUGGUGACCGUCGGUGACACUAGCGGUGAUUGGUGACGCUGACGGCGCUCAUCUCGCGGUUAACGGCAGACAGUUUGGCAGAGGCGGUGGCUCACGCAUGGAAGGAGAAAUUAAACUAUAUUUUUCUCUUUAGAUUUUUACUUUUCAGGAGAAAUUAAACAUUUUCAAAACCACAUCUUUAUUCGUGUAGGGUGUUAAUACCUUCCCUACACGUAACCGACUCCCGAACCAGAAUCUGGUUUUUUGUAGACCAAGCCUUAUCCCUUUUACGGUUUUUCUAUAGUUUUCCAAAAUAAACUAUAGUGGCGACUCCAAAUUUUUUUUUUCAAAAUCGUCUCUCUUUUUGGAUCGUCGUCCCGUCGCGAUUUCCGGUUGCGACACUAUCCUUGUAUAUUUUCUCUUUUGCGAUGAUCACCUAAUUGGUGUGAGCUUAGGGAGACAGUUGUUUCAGUUACUUCAGCGAUAUGUGAUCGAGAGGAUUUAGUAGAGAAGUCGGAU